Molecule: long non-coding RNA, 711 nt
Organism: Mesitornis unicolor (brown roatelo)
Lineage: Eukaryota; Metazoa; Chordata; Aves; Mesitornithiformes; Mesitornithidae
Exons: 3
Source: RefSeq, a predicted model, not a curated record
CUUUCAGGAGUGACAGUUCAUUCAGGUUCUUUGUGUUCUUCUUUGUAUAUAUCUGUCAGUUCGCUGUACAUGUACUUCAAGCUGCAGGAUUUCAAAGAUGGGGAAACUGUGGGUGGAUUUCAUCUCUUACUGGUCUUAGUAAGAGUAUCCCUGUUGGCAUUAUGAUGAUAACAAUAGCUGCACUUUUCACAGCAUCUGCUGUUAUUUCUUUAGUUAUGUUUAAAAAGUUGCAUGUUCUCUACCGCACAACUGGUGCUAGUUUUGAGAAAGCACAGCAGGAGUUUGCAACUGGAGUGAUGUCCAACAAAACUGUACGAACUGCUGCAGCCAAUGCCACAUCAACAGCAGCAACCAGUGCAGCUCAUAAUGUGUUCAAGGGUAACCAAAUGUAGAGAAAUAUAAAAAGUCAUGAUGGUUCUCUUCGACUGUACUUUAUUUUCCAGUCACUUAUUAUAUUCCCUAAAAACAUAGAUCAAAAUACACACAGCAUGUUUGUCUCUUCUGCAGUUGUGCAUGGCUAAAAUGAGAAAUGUUUGUUUUAUUUUAUUAUAAAUGUAUUUAUUUUAAAAAGAUAACCAUUCUCAGCUCUUCUUUAAAAUGUUGCAUUCUAGAAUAUAAAGCCUUCCAUAUUUUAUGAAGGAUAAAUAAUUUCACCAGUUGGCCUGAGAAUGAAUUGCGGUAUAUAAUGAUCAAAUAAAUAUAUUAAGAAUU